UGUAAACAUUUUUAUAAAAAAAAGCCCAAAUCGUCUAUUUUUCCUCACUUCCUUCUGUGUUUAACCCUCCAUUCCACAGGUGGAGGGGGGUGCACUGAGCAUGCUCAGAUGUCCAUGGAA
Molecule: long non-coding RNA, 120 nt
Organism: Sphaeramia orbicularis (orbiculate cardinalfish)
Lineage: Eukaryota; Metazoa; Chordata; Actinopteri; Kurtiformes; Apogonidae
Exons: 3
Source: RefSeq, a predicted model, not a curated record